AUGCAUCUGAGCGAGAACGAGGGGAUCGAGGGCGUGCGGUUCGCGGUGACUGGCGGGCAGGGCUUCGUCGGCGCCGCGCUAUGCCUAGAGUUGAUCCGCCGCGGCGCCCUGGAGGUCUGCUCUCUCGACGGCUCGACCUGCGCGAUUCCUCCUCUUGGUCCCAGUAGCUCCUCGAUGCCAGUGUCCGCUUCUUCCAAGGCAAUGAGGGAAGUAGAUGGGCAUGGCUGA
RNAcentral lists this ribosomal RNA (228 nucleotides) under Triticum aestivum (bread wheat). RNAcentral describes it as "partial small subunit ribosomal RNA". The record is from RNAcentral. Lineage: Eukaryota; Viridiplantae; Streptophyta; Magnoliopsida; Poales; Poaceae.